GACAGCAGCAGCCACGGGAAUACGGAGGGAGCUAGCGUUGUUCGGAAUUACUGGGCGUAAAGCGCACGUAGGCGGUUUAUCAAGUCAGAGGUGAAAGCCCGGGGCUCAACCCCGGAACUGCCUUUGAAACUAGUAGACUUGAAUCUUGGAGAGGUCAGUGGAAUUCCGAGUGUAGAGGUGAAAUUCGUAGAUAUUCGGAAGAACACCAGUGGCGAAGGCGACUGACUGGACAAGUAUUGACGCUGAGGUGCGAAAGCGUGGGGAGCAAACAGGAUUAGAUACCCCAGUAGUCCCUGUCUCUUAUAC
RNAcentral lists this ribosomal RNA (306 nucleotides) under uncultured bacterium. RNAcentral's name for it is "partial 16S ribosomal RNA". It matches the Rfam family "Bacterial small subunit ribosomal RNA", at positions 507 to 807 of the family's 1533-position model. The record is from RNAcentral.